GACGAACGCUGGCGGCGUGCUUAACACAUGCAAGUCGAACGGAAAGGCCCUGCUUUUGUGGGGUGCUCGAGUGGCGAACGGGUGAGUAACACGUGAGUAACCUGCCCUUGACUUUGGGAUAACUUCAGGAAACUGGGGCUAAUACCGGAUAGGAGCUCCUGCUGCAUGGUGGGGGUUGGAAAGUUUCGGCGGUUGGGGAUGGACUCGCGGCUUAUCAGCUUGUUGGUGGGGUAGUGGCUUACCAAGGCUUUGACGGGUAGCCGGCCUGAGAGGGUGACCGGCAACAUUGGGACUAAGAUACGGCCCAGACUCCUACGGGAGGCAGCAGUGGGGAAUAUUGCACAAUGGGCGGAAGCCUGAUGCAGCAACGCCGCGUGCGGGAUGACGGCCUUCGGGUUGUAAACCGCUUUCGCCUGUGACGAAGCGUGAGUGACGGUAAUGGGUAAAGAAGCACCGGCUAACUACGUG
This 468-nucleotide ribosomal RNA is filed under the name uncultured bacterium. Its description in RNAcentral is "partial 16S ribosomal RNA". It matches the Rfam family "Bacterial small subunit ribosomal RNA", at positions 28 to 507 of the family's 1533-position model. The record is from RNAcentral.